AAUAUUGUAUAAACUGAAUAACGGUCAUUAAUCGAGAACAUAACAUAAAGAUUUGGUUGAAAAAGCAUAAGAGAAAGUGUGUUUACAGCCUCUAUAUGGGUUGACUUUUGUUCAAAUGUUACAUCAAAAGGUCAAACGAUAUUCUUGAUUCGUAGUAGGAAAUGAAUUGGAGGUGGGGUCAUUUAUAAUUGAAUUUUUGUAAUGAAGGAAAGAUGAAUUGAUAUAGGUAUGAAGAAGAGGAGAAAAGAAAAGAAUCUUGAAGCACCGGCCUAAAUGGAAGUAAUGUCUAUGUAAUGAUGUGGUGUUUUGAGAAAAUAGGAGUGGGCCCAAUCAAUAGUGGACACCCAAACUACCUAUGGCCCAAUAAGGCCCUUUUCUACAGUCUCCCCCACUCACUUCACUCAUUCAU
Molecule: long non-coding RNA, 409 nt
Filed under: Vigna radiata
Lineage: Eukaryota; Viridiplantae; Streptophyta; Magnoliopsida; Fabales; Fabaceae
Description: long non-coding RNA (VRAD_LNC002791)
Source: RNAcentral